RNAcentral lists this long non-coding RNA (3321 nucleotides) under Anolis carolinensis (green anole). RNAcentral describes it as "lncRNA (ENSACAG00000045381.1)". The record is from RNAcentral. Lineage: Eukaryota; Metazoa; Chordata; Lepidosauria; Squamata; Anolidae.
UUCGCCCACUCCAACAUCCAAGGAAGCGGCGCUGAGACUCUCAGCCUCGCCUCCGCUGCGCCGGACCCACACUGGCCUUCCUCCCUCGCCUUCCAAGAGCGCGCUCCCGCCUCUCCGCCUCGCUGGCUUGUCACUUGCCCGCUCCCUGGGCAGCCCCACUGGCAAAGCAACGCGGCCCUGCUUGGCUCGCCAGCGCCUCCUGCCGGGCGCAGGAGGAACAGCCGGCCCCUCUCUUGCUCCUGUCACUGCGGCGCCCUCUACACGGCCAUACACAGGCGGUCCCCAAGUUAUGAACAAGAUACAUUCUGCACUGCAAGCACGGCCAAGAAAUGAUUGGCACAGAUACUUGAAGAACGGAGCAGCCACAUUUUGCUUUGGCUAAUUUCUUCUUCUUCCUGACCUCUCUAGGUCCUCCGGUCCUAUACACGUAUGUAUGCUUCUGCCCUAUGAAUAGUUAAAAUAUAGGCUACCCUGUUAAGUGUGGAUACCGAGGUCAUACUGUAUUCACUAUAGCCACAGUUGGUUCACUUCUAUUUGCAGUAUGUCCAGUUAGAAUCAGACAUGUUAAUUACAAACAUUUAUUGAAUGACAUCAAAUAAGAUGGUUUUGUUAAUUGGUUUAUAUAUCAGAAGUGAUGAUAAAAUGCUAAUAAUAUACACAUUAUAUUUCUGUCUCUAUUGGAAAACCAUAGUUUCAUGCAGACUUUGACCUAAUUUCAAGACAGUGGGUGAACUCUGGCUGAUUUUUAGCCAAGCUAAUGUGGCUCUCAACAGGAAAAACAGGAGAGCAAGAAGGGAGUCAUCAUGCCUGAUUUAAAUAGCUGUAAGGUUAUGAAGUUUACUUAUCCAUAUCAGGUUGAAGUUACACUUGAUAUAGGACCACAAGUUUAGGAUUGCUGACCCAAGACAUUUCCGGUACUGGUUAAGUCACUUCCUUAAAAUUUGCGGAUGAGGCAGUGACUGAAGUGACACUCUAAGUUUGACUGUUGCCAUUAGGGACCACUUUGCACAGCUGUAUGUCAGGGAAGGAAAAAGUCUGAAUUUAUGGAAGAAAGCUGUUUAGGGAGACAUUUGGGUAAUGAUAGCUGCAAGGAGAUUUCUUUAAACCUAAGGAAGGACCCCAUUCAAUUUUUCAAAGCCUGGUGGCACAAAGAUUGCUGAUGGAAGGAGAGCAAGGCAGAAGCCAUCCUGUCCACCAUGGAAAGGGAUUCACAAAGACUGGGAGCAGUUACUGAGAAGUCCCUCUCCCUUGUUCCCAUCACAUGGACGAAGGAAGGCACUGGGACAAAGAUAUGGGCCUUUCCAGAGCUCUAACUGGCUCAUACAGGGAGAAUCGGUUCUCCAAAUAGACUGGACCUAAGCCAUAUAGGCUUAGGUCCAGCACUUACCAGGAUUUUUAAUUAUGUCUGGAAACAGACCAUGACCCAGUGGAGCUGCUGCAACAAGGAAGUUAUGCAUUCCCUGUAGCCAGCCCAUUAGCAAUCUGGCUCCAUUUGUUUGGAGCAAUUGAAGUUUCUGAACACAUUCCAAAGGCACAUUACAGUAAUCCAGAUGGGAUGUACCAAAGGCAUGUGUUACCAUGGCCAGAUCCAACUUCUCCAAUAUACUGUAGACUUGAUGCGCUGUGCAAAUGAACUCCUGGUCAUUACUGAAACUUGGGCAUCCAGAUUCAGAGAUGAAUGCAUGUGUGUAACUUAAAAUGUGAACCUGAAUUUCAAGGGGGUAUAGCUCCACCUGGGAAUUCCGUUUUCUAGAUCUGUCUUUCAGCAGACCAAAAGCACCUCCCUCUUGUCUUGAUUAAGUUUUAAUUUGCUUGCCCUCAUCCAGUACAUUAUAGCCUCUAGGCACCCAGUUAGCACAGGAGCAGCUUCCUUGGAAUUGGCUGCAAAGCAGUAAUGGAGUUGGAUAUCAUCAGCAUAUUGGUGACACUGACCUCAAAACCCCAGUCAACCUCUCCUAGAGGACAAGAAGGAAGCCUUUAGCACCACACUCUGAGAGUCUCCUCUGAGAAAGUAUGGAGCCAAUGUAGAACAGUACCUCCAAGCAGGAGGACCCGAUGGUGAUAAUACUGAAAGUCACUGAGAGGUCCAGCAGAACCAACAGGGAAGCACUCCUCCUGUCCCUUUCCCAGCACAGGUCAUCCAUCAAGGCAACCAAAGCUUGCCUCCAUCCCAUCCCAUAACUGGAACUGAAACCAAACUGAAAUGGAUCUGGAUAGUCCAUCUCAUCCAGGAAUCCCUGUGCUCUAGUGCAGUGCUUCUCAAACUGUACUCUUUGAGGUGUUUUGGAUUUCAGCUCUUUGAAAGCAUACCCAGCUUCCCAGCUAUUAGGAAUUGUGGGAGCUGAAGUCCAAAACAUCUGCGGGAGCACAGUUUGAGAAACUCUGCUCUAGUGCAUUGCCCAAAAGUUGGGGACUGGUCUAUAAUAAUCCAGUAUAGCAGGACAUACUAGUGAGGUUUUUUAAUGAUCUUAGAGUAGCCUCUUUUGAGACAAGUUGGGAUUCUACCUUGUCAUCCAAUGAAAUCAGUCACUCUCCUUACUUCUUCGGCCAAUUGUCUCCAUGAAGAGCAAAAGUCCAACAUUCUUGUAGUGGCUCUUGCCUUUCUAAGGAUCCUAUCCCCAUCCUCAGUCUUCCUAAAUUGAAAAGCAUUCAUCAAAACUGGGCAAGCAGAGGCCAAAUUAACAUCCACUGGACCUUUUAUCAUCAUUUUCUCUAUGAUUAUUAUUAUUACUACUAUGAUUACCUUUAUUUAUAUCCUGCCUUUCUCUCCAUGGGGACUCAAGGCAAGUAACAUCUAGCUACACAAUACAGUUUAAAAAGAGCAAUAUAAAAGUUAAAAACAAUUAAAUAGUAACAGUGUGGUAAAAACAGAAUUACAAUACAGUGUAACCAUUUUAGUUGAUUAUCAGACAAUAGCAAAACAUGCUAUCCUUUGUUUUAACCCAGCAAGUGACUGAAACCUUGCUGGACUGUUUUGUCAGGUGGUAAAGAAAAAGUGUGUGUAAAAUGGAUCUAUAUAUUAAUUGAACCAUAUUUAUUCAUAUUGAUAUAGGAAAACAAUAAUAGACAGCUAUAAAUAUAUAAACAUUAUUUUUAGUUCCCAUCUGCUGCCAAACUAUCCACAAUUAGUAAAUGCAGUACACUUCCUAGUCUAGAGACCACUCUUCAGAAUACAUCAAUGAAAGUUAAAACACAUGCUUUGGGGGAUACAUCUGCUCUUGAUCUGCAGCAUUCUGCAGUCAACACAAAUAUUUUUGCUAUUUUCCCUUUAACUAUUAGUAAUCAGCAAGUCAGGGGUGUGAUGUAAUGGAAGAGCAAGAA